This 72-nucleotide transfer RNA is filed under the name Dipodomys ordii (Ord's kangaroo rat). It matches the Rfam family "tRNA". From Rfam's summary of the family: Transfer RNA (tRNA) molecules are approximately 80 nucleotides in length. The record is from Rfam by way of RNAcentral. Lineage: Eukaryota; Metazoa; Chordata; Mammalia; Rodentia; Heteromyidae.
GAGAAGUUGGCUCAGUGGUAGAGUGCUUGCCUUGCAUGCAUGAGGCCCUGGGUUUGAUUCCUCAGCAUCACA